This 880-nucleotide ribosomal RNA is filed under the name Enterococcus faecalis. RNAcentral's name for it is "bacterial SSU rRNA". It matches the Rfam family "Bacterial small subunit ribosomal RNA", at positions 65 to 915 of the family's 1533-position model. Lineage: Bacteria; Bacillati; Bacillota; Bacilli; Lactobacillales; Enterococcaceae. The record is from RNAcentral.
AACGCUUCUUUCCUCCCGAGUGCUUGCACUCAAUUGGAAAGAGGAGUGGCGGACGGGUGAGUAACACGUGGGUAACCUACCCAUCAGAGGGGGAUAACACUUGGAAACAGGUGCUAAUACCGCAUAACAGUUUAUGCCGCAUGGCAUAAGAGUGAAAGGCGCUUUCGGGUGUCGCUGAUGGAUGGACCCGCGGUGCAUUAGCUAGUUGGUGAGGUAACGGCUCACCAAGGCCACGAUGCAUAGCCGACCUGAGAGGGUGAUCGGCCACACUGGGACUGAGACACGGCCCAGACUCCUACGGGAGGCAGCAGUAGGGAAUCUUCGGCAAUGGACGAAAGUCUGACCGAGCAACGCCGCGUGAGUGAAGAAGGUUUUCGGAUCGUAAAACUCUGUUGUUAGAGAAGAACAAGGACGUUAGUAACUGAACGUCCCCUGACGGUAUCUAACCAGAAAGCCACGGCUAACUACGUGCCAGCAGCCGCGGUAAUACGUAGGUGGCAAGCGUUGUCCGGAUUUAUUGGGCGUAAAGCGAGCGCAGGCGGUUUCUUAAGUCUGAUGUGAAAGCCCCCGGCUCAACCGGGGAGGGUCAUUGGAAACUGGGAGACUUGAGUGCAGAAGAGGAGAGUGGAAUUCCAUGUGUAGCGGUGAAAUGCGUAGAUAUAUGGAGGAACACCAGUGGCGAAGGCGGCUCUCUGGUCUGUAACUGACGCUGAGGCUCGAAAGCGUGGGGAGCAAACAGGAUUAGAUACCCUGGUAGUCCACGCCGUAAACGAUGAGUGCUAAGUGUUGGAGGGUUUCCGCCCUUCAGUGCUGCAGCAAACGCAUUAAGCACUCCGCCUGGGGAGUACGACCGCAAGGUUGAAACUCAAAGGAAUUGACG